RNAcentral lists this transfer RNA (85 nucleotides) under Felis catus (domestic cat). It matches the Rfam family "tRNA". From Rfam's summary of the family: Transfer RNA (tRNA) molecules are approximately 80 nucleotides in length. Their secondary structure includes four short double-helical elements and three loops (D, anti-codon, and T loops). The record is from Rfam by way of RNAcentral. Lineage: Eukaryota; Metazoa; Chordata; Mammalia; Carnivora; Felidae.
GCCUGGGUGGCUGAGUCGGUUAAGCAUCUGACUUCGGCUCAGGUCACGAUCUCGCGGUCCGUGAGUUCGAGCCCCGCAUCAGGCU